UACGGGGGGGGCGAGCGUUGUUCGGAAUUACUGGGCGUAAAGGGCUCGUAGGCGGCCAACUAAGUCAGACGUGAAAUCCCUCGGCUUAACCGGGGAACUGCGUCUGAUACUGGAUGGCUUGAGGUUGGGAGAGGGAUGCGGAAUUCCAGGUGUAGCGGUGAAAUGCGUAGAUAUCUGGAGGAACACCGGUGGCGAAGGCGGCAUCCUGGACCAACACUGACACUGAUGAGCGAAAGCCAGGGGAGCAAACGGG
This 253-nucleotide ribosomal RNA is filed under the name uncultured bacterium. Its description in RNAcentral is "partial 16S ribosomal RNA". It matches the Rfam family "Bacterial small subunit ribosomal RNA", at positions 524 to 776 of the family's 1533-position model. The record is from RNAcentral.